RNAcentral lists this ribosomal RNA (1283 nucleotides) under Staphylococcus schleiferi subsp. schleiferi. Its description in RNAcentral is "bacterial SSU rRNA". It matches the Rfam family "Bacterial small subunit ribosomal RNA", at positions 56 to 1320 of the family's 1533-position model. The record is from RNAcentral. Lineage: Bacteria; Bacillati; Bacillota; Bacilli; Caryophanales; Staphylococcaceae.
UGCAAGUCGAGCGAACGGACGAGGAGCUUGCUCCUUUGAAGUUAGCGGCGGACGGGUGAGUAACACGUGGGUAACCUACCUAUAAGACUGGAAUAACUCCGGGAAACCGGGGCUAAUGCCGGAUAACAUGUUGAACCGCAUGGUUCAACAGUGAAAGACGGUCUUGCUGUCACUUAUAGAUGGACCCGCGCCGUAUUAGCUAGUUGGUGGGGUAACGGCCUACCAAGGCGACGAUACGUAGCCGACCUGAGAGGGUGAUCGGCCACACUGGAACUGAGACACGGUCCAGACUCCUACGGGAGGCAGCAGUAGGGAAUCUUCCGCAAUGGGCGAAAGCCUGACGGAGCAACGCCGCGUGAGUGAUGAAGGUCUUCGGAUCGUAAAGCUCUGUUGUUAGGGAAGAACAAAUGUGUAAGUAACUGUGCACGUCUUGACGGUACCUAACCAGAAAGCCACGGCUAACUACGUGCCAGCAGCCGCGGUAAUACGUAGGUGGCAAGCGUUAUCCGGAAUUAUUGGGCGUAAAGCGCGCGUAGGCGGUUUUUUAAGUCUGAUGUGAAAGCCCACGGCUCAACCGUGGAGGGUCAUUGGAAACUGGAAAACUUGAGUGCAGAAGAGGAAAGUGGAAUUCCAUGUGUAGCGGUGAAAUGCGCAGAGAUAUGGAGGAACACCAGUGGCGAAGGCGGCUUUCUGGUCUGCAACUGACGCUGAUGUGCGAAAGCGUGGGGAUCAAACAGGAUUAGAUACCCUGGUAGUCCACGCCGUAAACGAUGAGUGCUAAGUGUUAGGGGGUUUCCGCCCCUUAGUGCUGCAGCUAACGCAUUAAGCACUCCGCCUGGGGAGUACGGUCGCAAGACUGAAACUCAAAGGAAUUGACGGGGACCCGCACAAGCGGUGGAGCAUGUGGUUUAAUUCGAAGCAACGCGAAGAACCUUACCAAAUCUUGACAUCCUUUGACCGCUCUAGAGAUAGAGUUUUCCUCUUCGGAGGACAAAGUGACAGGUGGUGCAUGGUUGUCGUCAGCUCGUGUCGUGAGAUGUUGGGUUAAGUCCCGCAACGAGCGCAACCCUUGAGCUUAGUUGCCAUCAUUAAGUUGGGCACUCUAAGUUGACUGCCGGUGACAAACCGGAGGAAGGUGGGGAUGACGUCAAAUCAUCAUGCCCCUUAUGAUUUGGGCUACACACGUGCUACAAUGGACAAUACAAAGGGCAGCGAAACCGCGAGGUCAAGCAAAUCCCAUAAAGUUGUUCUCAGUUCGGAUUGUAGUCUGCAACUCGACUACA